Molecule: transfer RNA, 87 nt
Filed under: Silvibacterium dinghuense
Lineage: Bacteria; Pseudomonadati; Acidobacteriota; Terriglobia; Terriglobales; Acidobacteriaceae
Also listed under: 2 other names
Description: tRNA-Leu
Rfam family: tRNA
About the family: Transfer RNA (tRNA) molecules are approximately 80 nucleotides in length.
Source: RNAcentral
GCCCGGAUGGCGAAAUCGGCAGACGCAGCGGACUUAAAAUCCGCGACCCGCAAGGGUGUGGGGGUUCAAGUCCCCCUCCGGGCACCA